UCUCCUGUAGCUCAGUUGGUAGAGCGCACGGCUGUUAACCGUGAGGUCUCUGGUUCGAGCCCAGGCGGGAGAG
Cymbomonas tetramitiformis is the source of this 73-nucleotide non-coding RNA. The record is from the annotation of a GenBank genome assembly. Lineage: Eukaryota; Viridiplantae; Chlorophyta; Pyramimonadophyceae; Pyramimonadales; Pyramimonadaceae.